Molecule: non-coding RNA, 72 nt
Organism: Phrynosoma platyrhinos (Desert horned lizard)
Lineage: Eukaryota; Metazoa; Chordata; Lepidosauria; Squamata; Phrynosomatidae
Source: the annotation of a GenBank genome assembly
ACCAGCAUGGUGUAGUGGUUUAAACAUUGGACUCUGACUCAAGAGACAAGGGUUCGAAUCCCAGCUCAGCCA